This 498-nucleotide ribosomal RNA is filed under the name uncultured bacterium. RNAcentral describes it as "partial 16S ribosomal RNA". It matches the Rfam family "Bacterial small subunit ribosomal RNA", at positions 28 to 523 of the family's 1533-position model. The record is from RNAcentral.
GACGAACGCUGGCGGCGUGCCUAACACAUGCAAGUCGAGCGGAGUCAGUAAGAGGAAGUUUUCGGAUGGAAUCUUAUUGAUUUAGCGGCGGACGGGUGAGUAACGCGUGAGCGACCAACCUUGCACAGGGGGAUAACGGACCGAAAGGUUCACUAAUACCGCAUGAGACCACGGUGUUGCAUGUCACAGGGGUCAAAGGAGCAAUCCGGUGCAAGACGGGCUCGCGGCCGAUUAGGUAGUUGGAGGGGUAACGGCCCACCAAGCCUAUGAUCGGUAGCCGACCUGAGAGGGUGAUCGGCCACAUUGGAACUGAGAUACGGUCCAAACUCCUACGGGAGGCAGCAGUGGGGAAUAUUGGGCAAUGGGGGAAACCCUGACCCAGCAACGCCGCGUGAAGGAAGAAGGUUUUCGGAUUGUAAACUUCUGUCCUUGGUGAAGAGAAGAAGACGGUAGCCAAGGAGGAAGCCCCGGCUAACUACGUGCCAGCCGCCGCGGUAA